GUUGUGGGGUUGGCCAGAAAGAGGGCCAGGAGAGCAGAGGCCGCGGUGUGUCCGCAGGUGCUGCAGCCGGGGUGUCUCCCAUCCCCACGCCGUCUCCGCGUCCCUCCCUGCGCUCCAGCCCCACACUGAGUGGGGCAGACGGGUGCUGCGCAGCGCUGGGUCGUGUGGUGUAAGCCUGCUCCCGCCAUGGCAGCAGUCUGCAAUCUGGGACAAAUCAUGGUCCCUCUCUUUGUUCCCAUUUGCAUUGCUAAAUUGUGUUAAUGAUACUUAUUAGCUAAUUCUAACAGCUGUUUCACAAGGUGAGGCGUAUUGACAUUGUUCACAACUUCAUUAGCAGUCGAUCUCUCUUAUUUUCAAGCCAAGAAAAUUUCAAACCAAGAAGAAAGCCAGUGAAAAUGAAUCAUGUAUUUAAAACACACCACGUUGUCUGGGAAAUGGCAACUUCAAAGCAAUUCUGCAUUUGUUCUGCUUUUUAUAGGUUUAUAUGCCUAUUUUUAUAGGAUCCAUUAUUUCUGGAGUCAGGGGAAGCUUGUAAACCUGGAUCAUAGAUUGCAAAUACUCAUGCAGUGUGUAUGCCUGUGAAGGCACCAGCAGAAAGAGCCAGAAGGCGUUCUGCAAACCCUUCGCUGGCAGAAGACCUUACACUCCCAACAACGGGACGACGGCAGCGUAUCGCGUGUGACAUUCCUUUUUCGAUUAGCCCGGCAGGAGGAUAACAGCAAAAUACCGCUCCUAACUAACGUGAAGGACCUGUCCAGAAAUGGGUUUGGCAGUGCCAAUGAAAAAAGAAACACAAGAGGCGUGAUGAGGACUUGAAAGCUGGUGUCUCUCGUCAUCCGUGUUGUACACAAAUUAUCCCAGCUUGAAUACGCUUGAAUAUGUAUAGCUUGGUGUUUGCAAGUGGGAGCAUGUAAAAACAACUUGCUUAGAGAUUUUGUAUAAUAAAAUCACCUUCCCCUUCCGUAA
Long non-coding RNA from Rhea pennata, 966 nucleotides. RefSeq lists it as uncharacterized. Lineage: Eukaryota; Metazoa; Chordata; Aves; Rheiformes; Rheidae. The transcript is spliced from 2 exons. The record is from RefSeq and is a predicted model, not a curated record.